This 271-nucleotide ribosomal RNA is filed under the name uncultured bacterium. Its description in RNAcentral is "partial 16S ribosomal RNA". It matches the Rfam family "Bacterial small subunit ribosomal RNA", at positions 793 to 1055 of the family's 1533-position model. The record is from RNAcentral.
GUCCUGGCUGUAAACGAUGUCGACUAGAUCGUGGUGGCUCUGACGCUAUCACGGUCGAAGCAAAAGUGCUAAGUCGACCGCCUGGGAAGUACGGUCGCAAGGCUAAAAACUCAAAGGAAUUGACGGGGGGCUCACACAAGCGGUGGAGCAUGUGGUUCAAUUCGAAGCAACGCGCAGAACCUUACCUGGGCUUGACAUGCUAGGAUUAUCCCUGUGAAAGCAGGGUAGGCCCUUCGGGGUACAACUAGUACAGGUGCUGCAUGGCUGUCGU